Molecule: ribosomal RNA, 229 nt
Filed under: uncultured bacterium
Lineage: Bacteria
Description: partial 16S ribosomal RNA
Rfam family: Bacterial small subunit ribosomal RNA
Source: RNAcentral
UGCGUAGGCGGGCUAAUAAGUCAGUGGUGAAAUAUUCCGGCUCAACCGGGAGACUGCCAUUGAUACUGUUAGUCUUGAGUUCGGCUGAGGUAGGCGGAAUGUGUAAUGUAGCGGUGAAAUGCUUAGAUAUUACACAGAACACCGAUUGCGUAGGCAGCUUACUAGACCGACACUGACGCUGAGGCACGAAAGCGUGGGGAGCGAACAGGAUUAGAUACCCUGGUAGUCC